This 344-nucleotide long non-coding RNA is filed under the name Elaeis guineensis (African oil palm). RNAcentral's name for it is "long non-coding RNA (EGUI_LNC016362)". Lineage: Eukaryota; Viridiplantae; Streptophyta; Magnoliopsida; Arecales; Arecaceae. The record is from RNAcentral.
GAUUUCAGACUUCGGCCCCCUCAUCGGCACCAACCUAGGUGCUCACUGCCGAUCCUCAUCACUUACAACAUACGUGGUAGGGAGGCUAACUACGAUCUCUCUGAGCCUUACUUCCACAGCUAUAUUCGAAAAGAUUGACGAAUGACCUUCGUACAAUCCCAUCAAGCUACGCCACUACUAGGAUCAGCUAGCCAGGCACUAAAUAAAGUAGGCAUAACCGCUUAAUCCCACAAAAUUCGAUCGAAAAUCUCAGGAUAGUGCAUCCAGCAGAGUUCAAGCAGCCUCUAAUUCUUUUCCUCCAUAGUUCUUGUACUCUAUAAAUAGAAGUAAUCAGAAGACCCCCA